Molecule: ribosomal RNA, 292 nt
Filed under: uncultured bacterium
Lineage: Bacteria
Description: partial 16S ribosomal RNA
Rfam family: Bacterial small subunit ribosomal RNA
Source: RNAcentral
GUGUCAGCCGCCGCGGUAAUACGUAGGGUGCGAGCGUUAAUCGGAAUUACUGGGCGUAAAGGGUGCGCAGGCGGUUAUAUAAGACAGAUGUGAAAUCCCCGGGCUCAACCUGGGAACUGCGUUUGUGACUGUAUGACUAGAGUACGGUAGAGAGGGGUGGAAUUCCUGGUGUAGCAGUGAAAUGCGUAGAUAUCAGGAGGAACAUCGAUGGCGAAGGCAGCCCCUUGGACCUGUACUGACGCUCAUGCACGAAAGCGUGGGGAGCAAACAGGAUUAGAAACCCUUGUAGUCC